AAUUUGACCUCAAAAUCAGGGAGGACUAACCGUCGAACUUAAGCCUAAUCAAUAAGCCGGA
This 61-nucleotide ribosomal RNA is filed under the name Tricholoma terreum. RNAcentral's name for it is "partial 28S ribosomal RNA". The record is from RNAcentral. Lineage: Eukaryota; Fungi; Basidiomycota; Agaricomycetes; Agaricales; Tricholomataceae.